UUGGGCAGCUCUGCAGGCUGUGCUUCCCAUCCUACUGCAGAGCCUUGCACAGAGUGAGCUUGGCCUUGGCUCUAUACAGCGAUAAAACCAAACACCUUCUGAUUGUGGCUCUUUUCAAGUCUCCUGCUGUCAUAAGAUGACUUUUUUAACCCCGGUAGUUCUUUCAAUCAAACAUACAACACAGGUCUCUUUUAAAAGGACAGCAAUGCAGCAGCAAGGCAAGUUACAACAAGCACUCAGAGAUAAUGCCUGGUCUGGUGGACAUCUGCAGGUGAGUGAUCCAGGCUGCAGGCCUCUCCUGGAGUGGAGAAUAUGGUUUCUCAGUGUAGGGCCUGGGACAAGCUCCUAAUGCUGGGUUACACAACCUGGCAUCAGAAACACUCACUGCUCUUGCUUUCUAUGUGCUGGAAGGGCUAAAUCUAUCAAAGCUGCAGCUGGAAACAGCUUGGGAAAAUCCUGCAUCACAUUUGAAUGUCUGGGAUGAAAGGGUGCCAGCAUGCUUGCACAUCAUGCCAAGCUGAGCCAGCAGAGGCUCUCAAGUUUCUUCUGUCUUUGUACAAUUAAGGUCAUGCUCAGCAUUAAAGCACUGCUCAGAUCCCCAGACUUUGCAGCUGCACGGCCACACUGAAGAAGGUGCAGCUCCUUUGAACACCUCUAAGCCAGCUGUCAACUUAAGCCAUGCUUUUCAAGGGGCUGGGAACUGGCUGCAGGUCACUGCUGACUGAUCCCCUUGGUCUUCUGUGUCUCAGUGGUCCCUUUGCUGAGUGGAGUCAUGCCAGCAUUCUAGCCUAGCACAUGCAGUUAUUCCUCUCUUCUUGCCAUCAGCCAGCUCCCUACAGCAAAGCCUCCCAGUGAUGACAAGCAUCUUCCCCCAUCCUGCAGAAAGAGCGAGGGAGAAAGACAAUUAACAAAAUGAGAGACCUGCCAGAGUCUGGAAAAAGCACCCAUCUGGCAGGAUCUAGCAGCUCCACCCUCAGGGAAUCUGCAUUUCUGACAUUCAAUCUGCCUGCUUGAGGGAAUACCCUCCUAGAAUCAGCCACAAGCAGAGAGACUUGUGAGCCAGUUCUGUACAGCUUGGUCUAAGUAAGGGUCCUCCCAGCUCUAUCUCCAGCCAAACAAAAACAAAGGCUCUUUUCUUCUGAAAUAUACAGGAGGUCAUGAGCUAACCUGCAGCUGUAUUUUCAGCUCUGACACUGCUUUUCGGCUCUGCUGCUUGUGUUUGUGCUUGGCUGCUUCCUCCUUUCCAAAUUCAGAGGUGGGUUGCCUUUGUUUCCUUAAGAAAGAAGGAAGAUAUUUGGAUAUGGUCUUACAGGAAAAGAUCAGAUGCAGUUUAUAGCAUCUUGCACCAAAGGAGCACUGAGAACAACUAGAAUCAUCAAACUCAUCUGAGCUUGAGUCAGUAGCCAGAUUUUUCCAAGGUGCAGGUGACCCAGUAAGAGGGAUAGGUGAGCAGUCACCAAGGCAGGUUCCCAGCUGCAGUAUAGACCCUGAGAACAGAAAAUUUUCAAUCCUGGAGACAUCUCUAUAACUAAGACUUUUUCCACUGAUUGGAGAGAAUGAUCUCUUCUUUGGUAUGAAGCAGCUCUGCAGACCAGCAGACCAAGCUGUAAAUGGAGCCCCAGGGAACCAGACUACUCCAAACUGGUGCAGUUUUUGAACUGUGGGGAUGAAUCAUCCAAAUAACUUUCUUCAGGCAAUACAGGGAACAAAUGUCACUAACCAUGUGAAAAUUGAGACCAUAUGCUUCUAGGAUGUUUUUAGAAAGGAGUACCCUUGACAGAGCUAGAGUGACUUCAAGGCUGGUUCCCAGGCCAGACCCCAGCAGAGCAGUCCCUCCUCUGCUGGUUCCAGGGAGUCUCUCUUGACUCUGGCCAUUAUUUUCACUGCAGCCAGUAUCUAUUUUUCUCCACUACCUGGUGAAAGGCUGCAAGUCCUUCAAGGCCAAGACAGAGCUUGUGUUUUGUUUGUUUGGAAAAAAAUAAAUGCCAGGAAAAAAACCA
This 2000-nucleotide long non-coding RNA is filed under the name Cyanistes caeruleus (blue tit). RNAcentral describes it as "lncRNA (ENSCCEG00000012112.1)". Lineage: Eukaryota; Metazoa; Chordata; Aves; Passeriformes; Paridae. The record is from RNAcentral.